This 468-nucleotide ribosomal RNA is filed under the name uncultured bacterium. Its description in RNAcentral is "partial 16S ribosomal RNA". It matches the Rfam family "Bacterial small subunit ribosomal RNA", at positions 28 to 507 of the family's 1533-position model. The record is from RNAcentral.
GACGAACGCUGGCGGCGUGCUUAACACAUGCAAGUCGAACGGAAAGGCCCUGCUUUUGUGGGGUGCUCGAGUGGCGAACGGGUGAGUAACACGUGAGUAACCUGCCCUUGACUUUGGGAUAACUUCAGGAAACUGGGGCUAAUACCGGAUAGGAGCUCCUGCUGCAUGGUGGGGGUUGGAAAGUUUCGGCGGUUGGAGAUGGACUCGCGGCUUAUCAGCUUGUUGGUGGGGUAGUGGCUUACCAAGGCUUUGUCGGGUAGCCGGCCUGAGAGGGUGACCGGCCACAUUGGGACUGAGAUACGGCCCAGACUCCUACGGGAGGCAGCAGUGGGGAAUAUUGCACAAUGGGCGGAAGCCUGAUGCAGCAACGCCGCGUGCGGGAUGACGGCCUUCGGGUUGUAAACCGCUUUCGCCUGUGACGAAGCGUGAGUGACGGUAAUGGGUAAAGAAGCACCGGCUAACUACGUG